Molecule: RNase P RNA, 335 nt
Filed under: pig gut metagenome
Description: Bacterial RNase P class A
Rfam family: Bacterial RNase P class A
About the family: Ribonuclease P (RNase P) is a ubiquitous endoribonuclease, found in archaea, bacteria and eukarya as well as chloroplasts and mitochondria. Its best characterised activity is the generation of mature 5'-ends of tRNAs by cleaving the 5'-leader elements of precursor-tRNAs.
Source: RNAcentral
GCUAUGCGAUAGCAUGAACGUUUUAGUUUAUGAGGAAAGUCCGGGCAUCACAGAGCGGGGCAGCUGCUAACGGCAGCCGAGGGCGACCUUAGGGCUAGUGCAACAGAGAUAUACCGCCGUUUAUACGGUAAGGGUGGAAAGGCGAGGUAAGAGCUCACCAGAGUACAGGAGACUGUACUGCUAUGUAAACCCUGUCCGAUGCAACGUCUAUUGGUACAGUUUAUCUUAACAUCUGCUCGGUGGAUAAAACUGUAAUGACGGCUUGAGGCCUGCGGCGACGCAGGUCCUAGAUAAAUUAUCGCACACGACAGAACCCGGCUUACAGGCUUACUCAU